RNAcentral lists this long non-coding RNA (529 nucleotides) under Nicotiana tabacum (common tobacco). RNAcentral's name for it is "long non-coding RNA (NTAB_LNC001032)". Lineage: Eukaryota; Viridiplantae; Streptophyta; Magnoliopsida; Solanales; Solanaceae. The record is from RNAcentral.
UCAGUCAGCAUUAGGGUUUUAAACCCUGAACUGAAAUUUCUCCUUCAGUCAUCAUUAGGGUUUUAAACCCUGAACUGAACUCUUUCCUUCAGUCAGCACUAGGGUUUUAAACCCUAAACUGAACUUUUCCUUUAGUCAGCAUUAGGGUUUUAAACCCUAAACUGAACUUUUCUAUUAGUCAGCAUUAGGGUUUUAAACUCUAAACUAAACUCUUUCCUUUAGUCAGCAUUAGGGUUUUAAACCCUAAACUGAACUCUUCCCUUUAAUCAGGAUUAGGGAUUUAAACCUUAAACUGAACUUUUUUCUUUCAGUCAGCAUUAGGGUUUUAAACCCUAAACUAAACUCUUUUCCAUUUAGUCAACAUUAGGGUUUUAAACCCUAAACUGAACUCUUCCCUUUAGUCAGCAUUAUGGUUUUAAACCCUAAAUUAAACUUUUCCCUUUAAUCAGGAUUAGGGUUUUAAACCCUAAACUGAACUUUUUUCCUUUAAUCAGAAUUAGGAUUUUAAACCCUAAACUGAACUCUUCCC